AAUUUUUUGUGCACUUCUUAAAAAAAAUUGAUGAACUUUUUUCAAAAUCAUUGAAAUUUUCUUGAAUAGGGCAACGUUUUUUGCAUGUUCAUGCACCUUUUCCGAAAUUUGUGAAGUUUCAUUUUUCUUAAAGAAAAUCAUAUAUGAGCGGCUAUGGAAGUUUUUUCAAGUGUUAGCGCUGCAUUUUGUCAGUUGCAUAGACAUGCCCUAGUGGUUAGCUGAACAACUGUAGGUAGUGCAGGUCGCGAGUUUGAAUUGUCGCUGUAACGUAAUUUUUGGAAUGUUUUUCACGCAUUUUUAUCACCAUUUUGUGCGGUGCCCCUUCGUGGGCUAGCCCUGGUCGCGCUAUAGCAAGCGUCGCUUCUCCUAAUUGGCGCUGUCUUUUUACACGGGAAAGGACUACUGCUGCUGUGUCGUCCCGACGUUGGGCCGCACUAAGUAUAUUUUUACAGAGAGAAAAACUGUGUGGUUUCUUUAAUAAACCUUUAUCUUUAAAUUAAAAAAAAGGAAACACUGCCAGAAGGCAUUGAACUAGGGGACCUCACGCAUAUAUACCUAGGUCGCUACCGCUAGGGUAUUAUCUAUGUUUCUGUUAAAUGCCUUUUUAAGGCCUUACUUAGAGAUAAAACUAGCCAAGUUGUUUAGUAUAAAAAAAGGUGAUUGAACGGGGAUUUGAACCACGUAGCACUAAUCUCUACGUUCCAACAAGCCAAGUUCUUACAUACAACGAGCCAUGUUUUUUUUCAGGAUUUUUGUAGUACUUUUCACGUGUAGGCAGUAAUAUGUUUUUUUUUAUUUUGCGAAAAGACAACAAUAGUUAUGUACUGUACGACUUAACGUCAAUGUAUAGCAAACAUUCGCGAAAUCUCCUAAAAAAAUUGUGCCCAUCUUAUGAAUCAAUAACAUUGUUCCAUGCCCAUUUGGAAGAAUUGUCUACCAUAUUUUGAUAUUAUUAUCAUUUUUUCUAAUAGGUUGCAACUAGAAGUGAAGUUAUCCCUAAGUAUCUUUUGACAUUUUCAUCUAUUUCUUGGAUAUGAGCUAAAAUAAAACAUAAUUCCUUAAAUAUCUUUUUUGAAAUGUUUAAACCUUAUUUGACUUACAUAUACAACAAAUUGCACUACCUCCAGUAAGCACACAUAAAUUCAUUUAAACCAUAGAAAAUUUAAAUCAUCUAAAAAAUUAUUGAAACUCCUACAAAAGAAAAUGUAUGUAUUAUAGUACAUGUGACAAUUUUAUAGGGGUAUGCCGCAUAUUUUAAUUAAAACGAGAACACCACAUUAAUGGAACUCGAACCUGACACAUAAAUUUUAAGCGGUUAGCACCUUCGAACUUGGCAACUUGUAUUUAAAAAAAUGGUUAACAUUUUUUUGAGAAAUAAAUUCAGACAUCUAUUUUGAAACAAAUCGUCAUGUAUUUAAAAAGUGUUAAACGUGUAUAAAAAUGUUGCUUGUGCAUACAAAAAAUGUACAACGUCUAUUGGACAAAGUACACAUGUAUUUUUCUAAAAUAAAAUGAAAUUGAAUAAAAGAUUAAAAUAAAAAAUGAACAGAAAACAAAAACCAAAAAAAUGAUGAAAAAUGUGCAACACAUAAAACCAAUAAUAGAAACACAAAGAAAAACUUGAGUUUUUCUGGAGCAAAACAAAACCCGUGAGCUAAAAUAAGGGGGGAAAAAGAAAGCCACAAAAAUAGUAGUACGUACGUUGGAUUUGAACAAGGACCUCAUUUACAUUUCUAACGCCACAAAACCACUGUAUUAAGAUACAGUUUUAAUCUAAACACACACUGGCCUUUUUAUAGUAGUAGAAGAUAUUUUCUAGCCUGCUGCCUUCUGAUUGGCUGAACCAGACCUCCCAUGGAUCACGCCUCUCCACCGUCCAUCCUUAGCUGAUCCAACGGUCCCUGCCCCUUCUACUCUCUAUCUGUGCUUUCCCUGAUUCUUAUCCUCUCACACAGCCACACAAACGAGAGCACCAUGCCAGCAGCAGCCACGCCCGAGGAAAUCCACAGCUCGCAGCCGUCGGACGCCGCCAUCCGCGCGAAGGGCCGCCGCCCGCACCUCCCACCACAGCACGCCGCAAUGGAGGCCGACCGCCCAUGGCAUCGCCCGAGCUCACCUCCCAGUAGUCGUACUCCUUUGAAUUCGUCGGCAUCCGGCUAGAUCCGGACGCCAGCGCCCCGUUCCUACUUCCGCGCCUCGCUUGGGUCGUCGGCCACCUCGACGAUGUGAUACCGCUCGCGAGAUCCAACGCCACCGCUGGCUAGCCACUUCCUCCUGGAGGAGACGCCCCCACAUCCGUGCCUCCCCACAUGAGCAGCAGCAACAAACGCCUCGCUAUGGGCGUCUCUGGUGGUGCUUUUUCUUGUAAUUUUUUUAAAGAAGUUUGCCAGAUCUGUGCGUGAAAAACAAUGGCGUUGAACUCUGAUUGAUGUCCCGCGAAGGCUGGGCGGCGCUUGAUGCGGUGGCUGCAGAAUAUCUCUGGGCAAAAUAGUAGGCCAGAUCUAGGGGAAAAAAUUGUAAUUCCAAGUUUUUGGUUGUGUA
This is a long non-coding RNA of Aegilops tauschii subsp. strangulata, 2541 nucleotides long. RefSeq lists it as uncharacterized. NCBI's taxonomy places the organism in Eukaryota, Viridiplantae, Streptophyta, Magnoliopsida, Poales, Poaceae. The record is from RefSeq and is a predicted model, not a curated record.